GACGAACGCUGGCGGCGUGCUUAACACAUGCCAGUCGAACGGAAAGGCCCUGCUUUUGUGGGGUGCUCGAGUGGCGAACGGGUGAGUAACACGUGAGUAACCUGCCCUUGACUUUGGGAUAACUUCAGGAAACUGGGGCUAAUACCGGAUAGGAGCUCCUGCUGCAUGGUGGGGGUUGGAAAGUUUCGGCGGUUGGGGAUGGACUCGCGGCUUAUCAGCUUGUUGGUGGGGUAGUGGCUUACCAAGGCUUUGACGGGUAGCCGGCCUGAGAGGGUGACCGGACACAUUGUGACUGAGAUACGGCCCAGACUCCUACGGGAGGCAGCAGUGGGGAAGAUUGCACAAUGGGCGGAAGCCUGAGGCAGCAACGCCGCGUGCGGGAUGACGGCCUUCGGGUUGUAAACCGCUUUCGCCUGUGACGAAGCGUGAGUGACGGUAAUGGGUAAAGAAGCACCGGCUAACUACGUG
Molecule: ribosomal RNA, 468 nt
Filed under: uncultured bacterium
Lineage: Bacteria
Description: partial 16S ribosomal RNA
Rfam family: Bacterial small subunit ribosomal RNA
Source: RNAcentral